This 207-nucleotide ribosomal RNA is filed under the name uncultured bacterium. Its description in RNAcentral is "partial 16S ribosomal RNA". It matches the Rfam family "Bacterial small subunit ribosomal RNA", at positions 568 to 774 of the family's 1533-position model. The record is from RNAcentral.
CGCGUAGGCGGCCUCUUUAGUCGGAUGUGAAAGCCCGAGGCUUAACCUCGGAAGUGCAUUCGAUACUGGGAGGCUUGAGUAUGGGAGAGGGAAGUGGAAUUCCUGGUGUAGAGGUGAAAUUCGUAGAUAUCAGGAGGAACACCGGUGGCGAAGGCGACUUCCUGGACCAAUACUGACGCUGAGGCGCGAAGGCGUGGGGAGCAAACA